UACAGAGACCUCGAGCAUUAUCCGGAUUUAUUGGGCGUAAAGGGUCCGCAGGUGGCCGUUCACGUCAUUGGUCAAAGCUCUGGGCUCAACCCAGAAAAGGCUGGUGAUACGGAAUGGCUCGAGCAUGGGAGAGGUACGCAGAAUUCCCGGUGUAGUAGUAAAAUGCGUUAAUAUCGGGAGGAAUACCAAAUGCGAAGGCAGCGUACUGGAACAUUGCUGACACUCAGGGACGAAAGCGUGGGGAGCGAAA
Molecule: ribosomal RNA, 250 nt
Filed under: uncultured bacterium
Lineage: Bacteria
Description: partial 16S ribosomal RNA
Rfam family: Bacterial small subunit ribosomal RNA
Source: RNAcentral